GCGGCGUGCCUAACACAUGCAAGUCGAACGAGAAAGUGGAGCAAUCCAUGAGUAAAGUGGCGACCGGGUGAGUAACGCGUGACUAACCUACCUCCGAGUGGGGAAUAACUCCGGGAAACCGGGGCUAAUACCGCAUAACAUCGCAAGAUCAAAGCAGCAAUGCGCUUGGAGAGGGGGUCGCGGCUGAUUAGCUUGUUGGCGGGGUAACGGCCCACCAAGGCGAAGAUCGGUAUCCGGCCUGAGAGGGCGCACGGACACACUGGAACUGAAACACGGUCCAGACUCCUACGGGAGGCAGCAGUGGGGAAUUUUGCGCAAUGGGGGAAACCCUGACGCAGCAACGCCGCGUGGAGGAUGAAGCCCUUUGGGGCGUAAACUCCUUUCGACUCGGAAGAUAAUGACGGUACGAGUGGAAGAAGCACCGGCUAACUCUGUGCCAGCAGCCGCGGUAAUACAGAGGGUGCGAGCGUUGUUCGGAAUUAUUGGGCGUAAAGGGCGCGUAUGCGGUGCGGUAAGUCACCUGUGAAAUCUCCUGGCUUAACUGGGAGUCUGCAGGCGAUACUACCGUGCUG
This 572-nucleotide ribosomal RNA is filed under the name uncultured bacterium. RNAcentral describes it as "bacterial SSU rRNA". It matches the Rfam family "Bacterial small subunit ribosomal RNA", at positions 39 to 643 of the family's 1533-position model. The record is from RNAcentral.